Long non-coding RNA from Alnus glutinosa, 739 nucleotides. RefSeq lists it as uncharacterized. The transcript has 4 exons. The record is from RefSeq and is a predicted model, not a curated record. NCBI's taxonomy places the organism in Eukaryota, Viridiplantae, Streptophyta, Magnoliopsida, Fagales, Betulaceae.
UUCGCACCGUUUUGAUUGAAAAUUUUGCCUUGAAGCCCCUCUCUCUCGUCCUCUCGUCUCUCUCUCUCUCUCUCUCUCUCUCUCUCUCUCUCUCUCUUGUGUUUUGUAUUUCUCUGCACCCUACUCCCCACGAUUCACACUCCCUUAGGCUCACACGAACCCUCUCUUCAGUCUGGACUGGUACGUGCUGGAGGGGCAGAUCGUCAAGCACACCAUGCGGGAUCUGAUCCGGUCGGUCCGGGUCGUCGGGCACAAGGAUUUAAUGUGGAGACGGUGGAAUAUAAAAACAUCAGCUUCACUGUUUGGGAUGUUAGGGGUCAGGACAAGUUUGGCAAGGAGGUACUCGGUCAUGCUUCUAAGGUGGUGCUUACCAAGGAUACUACUAUGAGUGUUGGUGGUGGAAGUACACAGGAAGCAGUAAACAAUAGAGUUGCACAGAUUAAUUAGAAAUCUAAUUGAGGCUGCAGAGCAAGACUAUGAGAAGGAAAAAUUAAAUGAAAGGAUUGCGAUAUUGUCAGGUGGUGUUACUGUGAUACACGUAAAUUACCAAUUGCUGGUUGUAAAAGUGAUUUGUAUUUGUAAAUAAUAAUCUUGUGCUGAAGAAAUGUAUCAUAUUGUAUAUUCUAGUCCAUACUCAAGGAAAUAUAUAUUCUAGUCCAUAUGGUUAUUUCAUAACAUAUGUGUUUUGAUCUUGUAAUUUUAGUUGAUGAUUGUUUAGAUUUUGGGGUUGCUAGGUGGU